Molecule: ribosomal RNA, 255 nt
Filed under: uncultured bacterium
Lineage: Bacteria
Description: partial 16S ribosomal RNA
Rfam family: Bacterial small subunit ribosomal RNA
Source: RNAcentral
UACAGAGGGUGCGAGCGUUAAUCGGAAUUACUGGGCGUAAAGCGCGCGUAGGCGGCUUUGCAAGUCGAGUGUGAAAUCCCCAGGCCUAACCUGGGAACUGCAUUCGAGACUGCAUGGCUAGAGUAUCGGAGAGGGAAGUGGAAUUUCAGGUGUAGCAGUGAAAUGCGUAGAGAUGUGGAGGAACACCGAUGGCGAAGGCAGCCCCCUGGGCUGAGAUUGACGCUCAGGCACGAAAGCGAUGGGGAGCAAACAGGG